Molecule: transfer RNA, 90 nt
Filed under: Embleya hyalina
Lineage: Bacteria; Bacillati; Actinomycetota; Actinomycetes; Kitasatosporales; Streptomycetaceae
Description: tRNA-Ala
Source: RNAcentral
CCGCCGACGAGCGGCGGCCGCGGGGCGGCUCGCGGCUGCCCGCGCCGCGUCCGGCCGCCGAGGCGCGUCGGAUCGGACCGUUCCGGCGGG